This 1432-nucleotide ribosomal RNA is filed under the name uncultured organism. RNAcentral describes it as "16S ribosomal RNA". It matches the Rfam family "Bacterial small subunit ribosomal RNA". The record is from RNAcentral.
GCUUAACACAUGCAAGUCGAGGGGCAGCACAGGUAGCAAUACCGGGUGGCGACCGGCGCACGGGUGAGUAACGCGUAUGCAACUUACCUAUCAGAGGGGGAUAACCCGGCGAAAGUCGGACUAAUACCGCAUGAAGCAGGGGCCCCGCAUGGGGAUAUUUGCUAAAGAUUCAUCGCUGAUAGAUAGGCAUGCGUUCCAUUAGGCAGUUGGCGGGGUAACGGCCCACCAAACCGACGAUGGAUAGGGGUUCUGAGAGGAAGGUCCCCCACAUUGGUACUGAGACACGGACCAAACUCCUACGGGAGGCAGCAGUGAGGAAUAUUGGUCAAUGGCCGAGAGGCUGAACCAGCCAAGUCGCGUGAGGGAUGAAGGUUCUAUGGAUCGUAAACCUCUUUUAUAAGGGAAUAAAGUGCGGGACGUGUCCCGUUUUGUAUGUACCUUAUGAAUAAGGAUCGGCUAACUCCGUGCCAGCAGCCGCGGUAAUACGGAGGAUCCGAGCGUUAUCCGGAUUUAUUGGGUUUAAAGGGUGCGUAGGCGGCCUUUUAAGUCAGCGGUGAAAGUCUGUGGCUCAACCAUAGAAUUGCCGUUGAAACUGGGAGGCUUGAGUAUGUUUGAGGCAGGCGGAAUGCGUGGUGUAGCGGUGAAAUGCAUAGAUAUCACGCAGAACCCCGAUUGCGAAGGCAGCCUGCCAAGCCAUUACUGACGCUGAUGCACGAAAGCGUGGGGAUCAAACAGGAUUAGAUACCCUGGUAGUCCACGCAGUAAACGAUGAUCACUAGCUGUUUGCGAUACACUGUAAGCGGCACAGCGAAAGCGUUAAGUGAUCCACCUGGGGAGUACGCCGGCAACGGUGAAACUCAAAGGAAUUGACGGGGGCCCGCACAAGCGGAGGAACAUGUGGUUUAAUUCGAUGAUACGCGAGGAACCUUACCCGGGUUUGAACGCAUUCGGACCGAGGUGGAAACACCCUUUCUAGCAAUAGCCGUUUGCGAGGUGCUGCAUGGUUGUCGUCAGCUCGUGCCGUGAGGUGUCGGCUUAAGUGCCAUAACGAGCGCAACCCUUGCCACUAGUUACUAACAGGUAAAGCUGAGGACUCUGGUGGGACUGCCAGCGUAAGCUGCGAGGAAGGCGGGGAUGACGUCAAAUCAGCACGGCCCUUACAUCCGGGGCGACACACGUGUUACAAUGGCGUGGACAAAGGGAAGCCACCUGGCGACAGGGAGCGAAUCCCCAAACCACGUCUCAGUUCGGAUCGGAGUCUGCAACCCGACUCCGUGAAGCUGGAUUCGCUAGUAAUCGCGCAUCAGCCAUGGCGCGGUGAAUACGUUCCCGGGCCUUGUACACACCGCCCGUCAAGCCAUGGGAGCCGGGGGUACCUGAAGUCCGUAACCGCGAGGAUCGGCCUAGGGUAAAACUGGUGACUGGGGCUAAG